Haplochromis burtoni (Burton's mouthbrooder) is the source of this 1756-nucleotide long non-coding RNA. RefSeq lists it as uncharacterized. The transcript is spliced from 3 exons. The record is from RefSeq and is a predicted model, not a curated record. Lineage: Eukaryota; Metazoa; Chordata; Actinopteri; Cichliformes; Cichlidae.
CUUAUCUUUGCUAGUCUAAUGCUGAUUGCAAAGGUCAUAAAGAACUUCCUAUACUACUAUUUUGUCCAAACAGAGCACGUGUGACAACACAUGUUGAUUCAAAUAUAAGCUGACCUUUUAACCCAUGUGUGCAUGUUUAUGUUUGUACAGGGCAACAGGGCUGCUGUACAUCAUACACAAAACCCCGUGCUGUGAACAUUAUUCUGAGACAUAGACAAAAGGUGGAGCUUUGCUGGAAGCAGGGUAUUAGCGAAUGGUGUAACAUUGAAGCCGUUGUGCUUAAGUGGAGACACCGGUACAUAUGUGUGGAUCCUAAACCUCGCAAGAUGCACAAACUCGUUGAACGCUUGUGCAACAGGAGAAAGAAUGGCUAACUUCCCAGGAAGAAGAACAGUAUCUGAAUAUCUGCACAAAUAUUAAUUAAUAUAUCCUUGCUACAAUUAGCAUGCCUAUAUAGCACUUAUUCUCAAAAUGUGUUUUGUACAUGUUUUAGCUAAACAAACUAAACAAAGUUUUAUUUAUAUUAUAAUAACAAUAUCUGAGGGCUGAGGCCAGAUCAAGAUGAUUAGUUGCUCUUUGUUUGGGGCUUUGUACAUGUAAAUGAUGAAGUGAAGUGUUGAAGUGAUGUCAUUUUGAUGGUUUCAAACAAACUGCAUAGCUAAAAACUGGGAAAAAAUGUCCACAAAUAUGUUAUGCUAGCAUGACAUUGUGACACCCCUUUCUCUCAUUCCUGUUAUACUCAGUCAUUUAUAAACUAUUAACCUUCAGAGACUCAAAAGAUCACAAAAACGAUAAGCAAAGAGAGUAAUUUUAUACCAUAUAUCUUAUUUGCCUUUCAGACAUGAACAACAGCAAUGGUAGUGUUACAGUGUCAUUCUUAGAACUGGCUCCAGUGUCCAAGUCGUGUUGUCAUAAUCUCCAACUUUAAUCUCCAACUGCAAUUGCUUUGACUUCAUAUUUCACUUUUGACAUACAGAUGUGAGAACAAAGAGGACUGUGAUACACACAUCAACAGAAAAAGGAUAAGCCUUCACAAAACUAUUUCUUACUCAAUAACUACAUGUCUUCAGGCAUUUUAUGGCUUCAUAUUGUGGAAACUGAGAGAGUUAUUGGCAAAGAGAAGACAGAGGGAUAUCUCUGCCAUCUCAAUAGCCAAGAGAAAUGUAAGGUAAGAUUUCAGUGAGCUGAUCGUAUCACACACAUAGGACCAGAGUAUUAUGACACAGUAUUCAUUUUAGCUGCAGAAAACACAAAGUUAAUGUUAAGGUUAAUGCAAACGAAUUACCAAAAGAGCAAAAAACUGUAAGUUGCAAAAAGCAAUGCAGAUUCAAUGUGAUUGGCAUUAAUGAGAAGUCCAUUCCACCAAAAAAGACUGAAAAUUGGAUUAACAGAUAUUUUGUUAAAAAUUACCAACAUCCACCAGUUCAUUAAUUAUUUAGAAAUAAAGCUUUGAAAGGAGUACACAAGCCUAAGCAGAAAAAGAGUAGUUCCUGCUUCUGAGCAAGAGACUGCAAUAAUCUUUUUGUUUUGGAAGGUAUGAAAAUGUGUGUAUUUUAUUUUCACUGAAGUCUGUAAUGUUUUCAUAAGCAUAUCAGUUACUUGCUGCAUAUACUCAAGCAUGUGGAUUUAUGUUACUAUUUCUGUUUUUGAGGCAGACUGCAUUAAAAAGCAUUGUUUGUAUGUUUAUUAAAUUAUUUUCCUGUUGCUGACUGAGUGGAUUAACCUCUUAUUUGAUGUUUAUAUUUAUAAAACUGCU